GAGGAAGCUGGGAUUACGCAG
RNAcentral lists this microRNA (21 nucleotides) under Heligmosomoides polygyrus. RNAcentral describes it as "hpo-miR-10082-5p". Lineage: Eukaryota; Metazoa; Nematoda; Chromadorea; Rhabditida; Heligmosomidae. The record is from miRBase by way of RNAcentral.